AUCUAAGUAUUUUAAAUUAAAAAUUUAAAGUUGUGGUCUUUAAGAUAGAGUUUUCUCUUAGAUA
RNAcentral lists this transfer RNA (64 nucleotides) under Sinella curviseta. Its description in RNAcentral is "tRNA-His". Lineage: Eukaryota; Metazoa; Arthropoda; Collembola; Entomobryomorpha; Entomobryidae. The record is from RNAcentral.